This 902-nucleotide long non-coding RNA is filed under the name Cicer arietinum (chickpea). Its description in RNAcentral is "long non-coding RNA (CARI_LNC000962)". The record is from RNAcentral. Lineage: Eukaryota; Viridiplantae; Streptophyta; Magnoliopsida; Fabales; Fabaceae.
AUGACUUUGCUCCAAAUUCAAACCCAAUGGUAAUUGCAUUCCUCCACUUCUCAAAUUUGUUGUGGACCCCAAUUGUAACACAUGAUCAUCUACUACUAUACCUCUAUUACUACUAUUAUUGUUAUUCCUCCCAUAUCCGCUCUCAGGUACUGCUAAGAUCUGCUCGAAGAAAUCGUCACCUAAUCCCUCCGAACUACAAUUACCUGCCAUAACACCUAAUUUUAUCGAUUCUAAUGCUUUAAUAUUCACACAUUUCUUCUCUUCUGUUUCUAUCGGUUACAAAUUCAACCACCAAAAGCGGAAAACAAGGAAACACGGUUGGAAUUUGGGGGCUUCGCUUCCCGAUAAUGUUUUUGAUUUGUAACGGAGUGAGAAUGAAGAACAGAAUUUGGGACUUUGUUGUUAAUGUUUUUCACUACACAUAUAGAUAGAGAGGAGAAAAGAAUGGUGAGUGCGCUACGGGUUUUAAAAAGACUAAAAACGACGUGAGGGAGUAUUGAUGUCAUGGAGACGGAGGUGUCGGUGAUGGUUGUUGUUAUUGGUAAUGUUGCCCUCAACAUCAACAACGUUUUCAACAAAGCGUGUUGUGUCUUGGUGCCUUAGAAAACCAUGAUGACUUUGCUCCAAAUUCAAACCCAAUGGUAAUUGCAUUCCUCCACUUCUCAAAUUUGUUGUGGACCCCAAUUGUAACACAUGAUCAUCUACUACUAUACCUCUAUUACUACUAUUAUUGUUAUUCCUCCCAUAUCCGCUCUCAGGUACUGCUAAGAUCUGCUCGAAGAAAUCGUCACCUAAUCCCUCCGAACUACAAUUACCUGCCAUAACACCUAAUUUUAUCGAUUCUAAUGCUUUAAUAUUCACACAUUUCUUCUCUUCUGUUUCUAUCGGUUACAAAUUCAACC